AGGGAUGUAGCACAGCUUGGUAACGCAUUUGUUUUGGGUACAAAAUAUCACAUGUUCAAAUCUUGUCAUCCCUC
This is a non-coding RNA of Triticum aestivum (bread wheat), 74 nucleotides long. Lineage: Eukaryota; Viridiplantae; Streptophyta; Magnoliopsida; Poales; Poaceae. The record is from Rfam.